RNAcentral lists this ribosomal RNA (832 nucleotides) under uncultured bacterium. Its description in RNAcentral is "partial 16S ribosomal RNA". The record is from RNAcentral.
CGGUCGUACUCCCCAGGCGGUGUGCUUAAUGCUUUCGCUGCGACACUGAAAACUAAGUUUCCAACGUCUAGCACACAUCGUUUACGGCAUGGACUACGAGGGUAUCUAAUCCUCUUCGCUACCCAUGCUUUCGUUCCUCAGUGUCAGUAAUGAUCCAGAAAGUUGCCUUCGCUUUUGAUGUUCUUUCUAAUAUCUACGAAUUUCACCUCUACACUAGAAAUUCCACUUUCCUCUAUCAUACUCUAGCUAAAAAGUUUUGAUGGCAGUUCCAAGGUUGAGCCUUGGGAUUUCACCAUCAACUUUUUUAACCACCUGCGAACUCUUUAAGCCCAGUAAUUCCGAACUACGCUAGGUCCCUUCGUAUUACCGCGGCUGCUGGCACGAAGUUAGCCGGACCUUCUUAUUCGGGUACAGUCAUUUUCUUCCCCGACGAAAGAGUUUUACAACCCAAAGGCCUUCUUCACUCACGCGGCAUCGCUGCAUCAGGGUUGCCCCCAUUGUGCAAGAUUCCCCACUGCUGCCUCCCGUAGGAGUUUGGGCCGUGUCUCAGUCCCAAUGUGGCUGGUCUUCCUCUAAGAACAGCUAUUGAUCGUUGCCUUGGUAAGCUAUUACCUUACCAACUAGCUAAUCAAGUGCGGGCUCAUCUUUUGGCAUUAAAACUUUCCCUGUAAAGGCUUAUCCGGUAUUAGCACAAGUUUCCUCGUGUUAUUCCAGACCAAAAGGUAGAUUCCCACAUUAUACUCACCCGUUUGCCACUCAGUAUUGCUACUGCGUUCGACUUGCAUGUGUUAGGCGUGCCGCCAGCGUACGUUCUGAGCCAGGAUCAAACUCU